AGAGUUUGAUCAUGGCUCAGAUUGAACGCUGGCGGCAGGCCUAACACAUGCAAGUCGAACGGUAACAGGAAGAAGCUUGCUUCUUUGCUGACGAGUGGCGGACGGGUGAGUAAUGUCUGGGAAACUGCCUGAUGGAGGGGGAUAACUACUGGAAACGGUAGCUAAUACCGCAUAACGUCGCAAGACCAAAGAGGGGGACCUUCGGGCCUCUUGCCAUCGGAUGUGCCCAGAUGGGAUUAGCUAGUAGGUGGGGUAACGGCUCACCUAGGCGACGAUCCCUAGCUGGUCUGAGAGGAUGACCAGCCACACUGGAACUGAGACACGGUCCAGACUCCUACGGGAGGCAGCAGUGGGGAAUAUUGCACAAUGGGCGCAAGCCUGAUGCAGCCAUGCCGCGUGUAUGAAGAAGGCCUUCGGGUUGUAAAGUACUUUCAGCGGGGAGGAAGGGAGUAAAGUUAAUACCUUUGCUCAUUGACGUUACCCGCAGAAGAAGCACCGGCUAACUCCGUGCCAGCAGCCGCGGUAAUACGGAGGGUGCAAGCGUUAAUCGGAAUUACUGGGCGUAAAGCGCACGCAGGCGGUUUGUUAAGUCAGAUGUGAAAUCCCCGGGCUCAACCUGGGAACUGCAUCUGAUACUGGCAAGCUUGAGUCUCGUAGAGGGGGGUAGAAUUCCAGGUGUAGCGGUGAAAUGCGUAGAGAUCUGGAGGAAUACCGGUGGCGAAGGCGGCCCCCUGGACGAAGACUGACGCUCAGGUGCGAAAGCGUGGGGAGCAAACAGGAUUAGAUACCCUGGUAGUCCACGCCGUAAACGAUGUCGACUUGGAGGUUGUGCCCUUGAGGCGUGGCUUCCGGAGCUAACGCGUUAAGUCGACCGCCUGGGGAGUACGGCCGCAAGGUUAAAACUCAAAUGAAUUGACGGGGGCCCGCACAAGCGGUGGAGCAUGUGGUUUAAUUCGAUGCAACGCGAAGAACCUUACCUGGUCUUGACAUCCACGGAAGUUUUCAGAGAUGAGAAUGUGCCUUCGGGAACCGUGAGACAGGUGCUGCAUGGCUGUCGUCAGCUCGUGUUGUGAAAUGUUGGGUUAAGUCCCGCAACGAGCGCAACCCUUAUCCUUUGUUGCCAGCGGUCCGGCCGGGAACUCAAAGGAGACUGCCAGUGAUAAACUGGAGGAAGGUGGGGAUGACGUCAAGUCAUCAUGGCCCCUUACGACCAGGGCUACACACGUGCUACAAUGGCGCAUACAAAGAGAAGCGACCUCGCGAGAGCAAGCGGACCUCAUAAAGUGCGUCGUAGUCCGGAUUGGAGUCUGCAACUCGACUCCAUGAAGUCGGAAUCGCUAGUAAUCGUGGAUCAGAAUGCCACGGUGAAUACGUUCCCGGGCCUUGUACACUCCGCCCGUCACACCAUGGGAGUGGGUUGCAAAAGAAGUAGGUAGCUUAACCUUCGGGAGGGCGCUUACCACUUUGUGAUUCAUGACUGGGGUGAAGUCGAAACAAGGUAACCGUAGGGGAACCUGCGGUUG
Molecule: ribosomal RNA, 1523 nt
Filed under: metagenome
Description: bacterial SSU rRNA
Rfam family: Bacterial small subunit ribosomal RNA
Source: RNAcentral